GGACUAUCGGUGCUUUACCGAUGGAAGUUUGAGGCAAUAACAGGUCUGUGAAUGCCCUUAGAUGUUCUGGGCCGCACGCGCGCUGCACUGAUGAAUGAUUCCAACAGAGUUCAUUUCCUUUAUCGGAAGAUAUGGGUAAUCUUUUGAAACUUCAUCGAGCUGGGGAUAGAGCAUUGCAAUUAUUGCUCUUAAACGAGGAAUCCCUAGUAAGCACAAGUCAUUAGCUUGUGCUGAUUACGUCCCUGCCCUUUGUACACACCGCCCGUCGCUGCUACCGAUUGAAUGGCUUAGUGAGGCCUUCGGAUCGAUUUCUGGAAGCUGUAAAAGGCAUCUAAUUGUUGAGAAGUUGGUCAAACUUGGUCAUUUAGAGGAAGUAAAAGUCGUAACAAGGUUUCCGUAGGUGAACCUGCGGAAGGAUCAUUA
RNAcentral lists this ribosomal RNA (423 nucleotides) under uncultured Glomus. RNAcentral's name for it is "bacterial SSU rRNA". It matches the Rfam family "Eukaryotic small subunit ribosomal RNA", at positions 1417 to 1831 of the family's 1831-position model. Lineage: Eukaryota; Fungi; Glomeromycota; Glomeromycetes; Glomerales; Glomeraceae. The record is from RNAcentral.